This 460-nucleotide ribosomal RNA is filed under the name uncultured bacterium. Its description in RNAcentral is "partial 16S ribosomal RNA". It matches the Rfam family "Bacterial small subunit ribosomal RNA", at positions 338 to 795 of the family's 1533-position model. The record is from RNAcentral.
CCUACGGGUGGCAGCAGUGAGGAAUAUUGGUCAAUGGGCGAGAGCCUGAACCAGCCAAGUCGCGUGAAGGAUGAAGGAUCUAUGGUUUGUAAACUUCUUUUAUAUGGGAAUAAAGUGAGGAACGUGUUCCUUUUUGUAUGUACCAUAUGAAUAAGCAUCGGCUAACUCCGUGCCAGCAGCCGCGGUAAUACGGAGGAUGCGAGCGUUAUCCGGAUUUAUUGGGUUUAAAGGGGGCGUAGGUGGUUAAUUAAGUCAGCGGUGAAAGUUUGUGGCUCAACCAUAAAAUUGCCGUUGAAACUGGUUGACUUGAGUAUAUUUGAGGUAGGCGGAAUGCGUGGUGUAGCGGUGAAAUGCAUAGAUAUCACGCAGAACACCGAUUGCGAAGGCAGCUUACUAAACUAUAACUGACACUGAAGCACGAAAGCGUGGGGAGCAAACAGGAUUAGAUACCCUUGUAGUC